GAUGAACGCUGGCGGCGUGCCUAAUACAUGCAGGUCGAGCGAACAGACGAGGAGCUUGCUCCUCUGACGUUAGCGGCGGACGGGUGAGUCACACGUGGAUAACCUACCUUUAAGACUGGGAUCACUUCGGGAAACCGGAGCUAAUACCGGAUAAUAUAUUCAACCGCAUGGUUCAAUAGUGAAAGACGGUUUUGCUGUCACUUAUAGAUGGAUCCUCGCCGCAUUAGCUAGUUGGUAAGGUAACGGCUUACCAAGGCAACGAUGCGUAGCCGACCUGAGAGGGUGAUCGGCCACACUGGAACUGAGACACGGUCCAGACUCCUACGGGAGGCAGCAGUAGGGAAUCUUCCGCAAUGGGCGAAAGCCUGACGGAGCAACGCAGCGUGAGUGAUGAAGGUCUUCGGAUCGUAAAACUCUGUUAUUAGGGAAGAACAAAUGUGUAAGUAACUAUGCACGUCUUGACGGUACCUAAUCAGAAAGCCACGGCUAACUACGUG
RNAcentral lists this ribosomal RNA (497 nucleotides) under uncultured bacterium. Its description in RNAcentral is "partial 16S ribosomal RNA". It matches the Rfam family "Bacterial small subunit ribosomal RNA", at positions 28 to 507 of the family's 1533-position model. The record is from RNAcentral.